AUCGAACGCUGGCGGCAUGCUUUACACAUGCAAGUCGAACGGUCCUUUCCGUGUGGGCGCCGACCGGUGGCGUAACGCGGGGUAACGCACCGGCAGGUUCGCAGUGACUCGGGGUAACGCAGCCUAAUCUCUGCUACUACCUCUUGUGGACAGAGGUUCAAAGGGGGGGACGGCGCGCGAAUGUUUAGCUUGGUGCCGUUGGAACGGCCGAUGUCGGCUUAGCUAGUUGGGGGGGUAAAGGCCAACCAAGGCGACGAUCCGUAGCUGGUCUGAGAGGACGAGCAGCCACACUGGGACUGAGACACGGCGCAGACUCCUACGGGAGGAAGCAGUGGGGAAUUUUGGACAAUGGGCGCAAGCCUGAUCCAGCAAUGCCGCGUGCGGGAAGAAGGCCUUCGGGUUGUAAACCGCUUUUGGCAGGAACGAAACGGUGUCCGCUAAUACCGGGCGCUAAUGACGGUACCUGCAGAAUAAGCACCGGCUAACUACGUG
RNAcentral lists this ribosomal RNA (492 nucleotides) under uncultured bacterium. RNAcentral's name for it is "partial 16S ribosomal RNA". It matches the Rfam family "Bacterial small subunit ribosomal RNA", at positions 28 to 507 of the family's 1533-position model. The record is from RNAcentral.